This is a long non-coding RNA of Bactrocera dorsalis (oriental fruit fly), 1548 nucleotides long. RefSeq lists it as uncharacterized. The record is from RefSeq and is a predicted model, not a curated record. NCBI's taxonomy places the organism in Eukaryota, Metazoa, Arthropoda, Insecta, Diptera, Tephritidae. The transcript has 5 exons.
UGAAAACAGCUGAUACUUGUGUUUUCGAUGGUUGGCAAUGCACAAACCAAAAGGAAAACGAAAACACAAGGAGGGGAACAGUUGAUGGAUCAAAAUAACAACGGCAGAAAAAGGAAAACACAAAUUAACUGCACGCUUGUUAUAAGGGCAAAAAACCAAACAAUUUUGCAAAUUGGAAAACACAAAAGGUUUGGUGUCCACUUAGGUGGUUAAUCCUCCUGGAACGUCCCACACAAUAACCCACUUCAUACAAAUAAAAAACAGAAAUUUACCAAGAAAUUUCGGGAACACAGUAAAAACACGUCUACUUCACACGUAUGCCUCAACACGUAUCCAUAUUUGUAUGUUGGUUUGUGUCUACAUUAUUUGUUCGGCAAUGUUGUACACAUAUGAAUAUGUAUGUACAUAUAUACAACCAUAUUUAUGCAUAUUUAUAUAAAUUAUAUAAUAUUAUCAAACAUUAUAAAUAUUUAAUAAACAACUCUUAUUCGAACAUUAACUACAAAUAUAGUUUUGAAAAUAGCAUAAUUUAAUUAUAAUGUUAUCAGUUUUGCAUGUAUUCAGAAAAGUACGCAAAAUGAUAUUCAUAUCAAUUAAUAUGAUUACAUGUAAACGUAUAAAAUUAUAUCCAAAAGACUAAUGCCGGGUUUUCACUAGGUCAUAUUUGACGUCAAAUGCUGUCAAAAUAAUUAAAACGGCAUGUUGGCAAAUUAUUUCCAUUUGCCGCGCGAAUGAUGUGCAAAAAUAAAUAAAAAAGAUUUUUCACUUUUCAAGUUUCAAAAUGGCAGAAGAAAUGAGUGCAAAUACAGAAAUGUUAAUUCCAAGCAUCAAGCGGGUGCGAAAAAUGAACGCAAAGUGGACAGCGGAGGAGACUGAGCAACUAAUUCAAGAAGUGGAGUCAAGAGAAGGAACCUGGAAUUUCCUUUCCGCGGAUUAUCGCGAUAGGAAUUUGUGUGAGGCUCAGUGGCAUGAAGUGGCAGAAACAUUAAAUAUGCCACGAGCCGAAGUAUCAGCCAAGUGGAACAGCCUUCGUUGUUCUUUUCGCGCGGCCUUCAACCGAAGGGCUCAUACAAAAAGUGGACAAGGAACCCACUCUACAAUUCGCUAAAGUUCCUCGAGCCUACAUUAAAAGUUGAAGCGAGCACCACUUCAAAUUUAAUAAAUGACAGCUCGUCGACCCUGACCACUCCAACAAUAUUGUUUGAUUCGGAAACGGUAUCUGGCGAUAUACCACCAACGCCAUCUACAUCACGACCCAAUUUAAGGAAACGUCGUGUUGAAAAAAACGACGAUGGAUACAUUGAAGUGGUUCAACGUGCGCUGGAGACCCUCACAUCUGCUACAAAAACUGAUGCUUGGAAUGAUUUAGGCAACUUUGUGACAUCAAACGGCCGUGAGUGGGACCAAGAAUCUCCACAGCUGGCCAGAGAAUUCAAGCAGGACAUAUGUGAGUUGAUAUUUAAGUAUCAGCAGAAAUUCACACGAUAAAAACAGUUGCAGAAUUGUAUAUGUAAUAAAACAUAAUUUUGCUGUUAUUUUAUAGCUCAG